This is a non-coding RNA of Zootermopsis nevadensis, 73 nucleotides long. The record is from Rfam. Lineage: Eukaryota; Metazoa; Arthropoda; Insecta; Blattodea; Termopsidae.
GCCGCGGUGGUCUAGCGGUCAGAACACUAGCCUUGUAAGCCUGGGGUCCCGGGUUCAAUUCCCGGUGGUGCUC